AGCAGCAGCAGCAGCAGGAGGAGGUGGAGGAGCCUGAGGCCGCGCUGGCGCUGGAUUCGUUACCUGAACCGUAGCUGGAAUUGGAGUAGCAUUUUGUUGAUUAUUCGCAGCAUUUUGAGUCGAAAACAUCGGUGGCAUCCAAGUUGGAAAUGCACCAGUAGUUGCAGCAGCAGCAGCAGCUCCUUUCACAGUACCCAAAUCCUCCAAAUUCCCAUUCACAAAACCCAUUGGAAAAAACCCCCAAAUGCAAUAAUAAGCUUCUUUCCCUGGCACCAUUGGUGGCAUUGACAAAAUCUCAGUAGCAGUAAAAGCCCUUUUACAUUUAUCACAUCGUAAACAACACCCUUCAUAAACCCUAGGAUACUCAUACAAAUUGUAACAAUACGGACACGCCGUCCACAAAUUCACCACCCUUUGCCCUCUCAUCGCACCACUCAUCGGCGCCGGCGCCGUAGCCUUCGGCGGCGCACUAUGAUAACUCUUCUGACUCACCGGACUGGGAUUAGGGUUCUGAUUUUGACCCGAACCCGAAUUACUCGCUCGACUACUCCUCCUCACAGGUAACUUCGCAUCUCCUUUCUUCUGCUUAUUAUAACUCCCUCUAGGUCUUCCUCGUCGAGCAGAAGGAGUCAAUUUAACUCUACCAAAAAGGGAAAGUUCAUUAUCAUAAAGACCCUUUUUUGAUGGAUCUGAAAGAACAGCCCAAGCAUCAGCAACAAGGCCGAAAGCAGUAUCUGAAGAUGGGUAUUUGUUUUUAUCAGGAUGAAGAAGAAGAGCAAGACGACGAUACUGUUUCUUGAUAAGCUCUGAAUCUUCAGUACGACCUUGGAUUUGAAGAAUAGAGUACCAAUCAUGGUGAUUGUUGAUUCGUUUAACAGAAGCUAAAAGAACUUCAGCAAUUGCUAAGAUCUGGUCAGGUCCUUCAAGUAAAGGCUCAGUUUCUUGAGCAAGAAGUGCAAAAUCUUUACAAGGGGCAAAUUCUUUAUCUCUUAACAGCUUUUCUGCAACUCCUAACAGUCUCUCUGCUUCUGCUCUGCUUGUAGUUGUAUGAUGCUCCAUUUUUUCCUCAAUUUUUGGGGAUUUUAGGGCUUUGGGGGUUUGAUCUGAAAUGGAGACGGAGAAAUUGAUGGAUGAUUUGGGGAAGAGGAAGAGGGGGUGGG
This 1160-nucleotide unclassified non-coding RNA is filed under the name Hevea brasiliensis (rubber tree). Lineage: Eukaryota; Viridiplantae; Streptophyta; Magnoliopsida; Malpighiales; Euphorbiaceae. The record is from RNAcentral.